RNAcentral lists this ribosomal RNA (467 nucleotides) under uncultured bacterium. RNAcentral's name for it is "partial 16S ribosomal RNA". It matches the Rfam family "Bacterial small subunit ribosomal RNA", at positions 28 to 507 of the family's 1533-position model. The record is from RNAcentral.
GACGAACGCUGGCGGCGUGCUUAACACAUGCAAGUCGAACGGAAAGGCCCUGCUUUUGUGGGGUGCUCGAGUGGCGAACGGGUGAGUAACACGUGAGUAACCUGCCCUUGACUUUGGGAUAACAUCAGGAAACUGGGGCUAAUACCGGAUAGGAGCUCCUGCUGCAUGGUGGGGGUUGGAAAGUUUCGGCGGUUGGGGAUGGACUCGCGGCUUAUCAGCUUGUUGGUGGGGUAGUGGCUUACCAAGGCUUGGAUGGGUAGCCGGCCUGAGAGGGUGACAGGCUACAGUGGGCUACGGGAAGGAGCAGUACGCAAUCGGGGGCAAUGGGGGGGAGAUUGACCCAGCGGGCGGGAGCCGGAUGCAGCAACGUCGCGUGCGGGAUGACGGCCUUCGGGGUGUGAACCGCUUUCGCCUGUGACGAAGCGUGAGUGACGGUAAUGGGUAAAGAAGCACCGGCUAACUACGUG